Molecule: ribosomal RNA, 451 nt
Filed under: uncultured bacterium
Lineage: Bacteria
Description: partial 16S ribosomal RNA
Rfam family: Bacterial small subunit ribosomal RNA
Source: RNAcentral
AGCGAACGCUGGCGGCAUGCCUAACACAUGCAAGUCGCACGGGGGGGCUUCGGCCUCCCAGUGGCGGACGGGUGAGGAACGCGUAGGGACCUGUCGAGGGGUGGGGGAUAACCGCGGGAAACUGCGGCUAAUACCGCAUGACGCCGCGGCGUGACAGCCGGGGCCAAAGGCGAAAGCCGCCCGCCGAGGGGCCUGCGUCCGAUUAGCUGGUUGGCGGGGUAGCGGCCCACCAAGGCGUCGAACGGUAGCUGGUCUGAGAGGGUGAUCAGCCACACCGGGACUGAGACACGGCCCGGACUCCUACGGGAGGCAGCAGUGGGGAAUAUUGGACAAUGGGCGCAAGCCUGAUCCAGCAAUGCCGCGUGGGUGAAGAAGGUCUUCGGAUUGUAAAGCCCUUUCGGCGGGGACGAUGGUGACGGUACCCGCAGAAGAAGCCCCGGCUAACUUCGUG